RNAcentral lists this ribosomal RNA (253 nucleotides) under uncultured bacterium. RNAcentral's name for it is "partial 16S ribosomal RNA". It matches the Rfam family "Bacterial small subunit ribosomal RNA", at positions 524 to 776 of the family's 1533-position model. The record is from RNAcentral.
UACGAAGGGGGCUAGCGUUGUUCGGAAUUACUGGGCGUAAAGCGCGCGCAGGCGGUCCUUCAAGUCAGAGGUGAAAGCCCAGGGCUCAACCCUGGAACUGCCUUUGAAACUGGAGGACUUGAGUACGGGAGAGGUGAGUGGAAUUCCGAGUGUAGAGGUGAAAGUCGUAGAUAUUCGGAAGAACACCAGUGGCGAAGGCGGCUCACUGGCCCGUUACUGACGCUCAGGCGCGACAGCGUGGGGAGCAAACAGG